UUAUUGCUGUUGUUAUUAUUAUAAAAAGACAGACAAAAGAUGGUCAAACGCGUAUUUAUGGUAUCAUAUCAUUUAUAUAAUUUAUAACAUCUAUUAUAUAAGUGCAACUAUAAAUAUAAUUGGCGAAGUAAAAAAUACAUUUCUAGAUGCAUCUUUACAGCUAUUUCAAAACUUUCUCAGUGAUUAGUUGAAUCCAGAAUGUGCGUUCCUCAAACUGGUGUACACACUGAUAUAACAAACACUCAUCAAGCAAGUAGAAAUUAUUAUCAACUCAUAGCCUGAAACAUUUAUAUAUUUAGGUUGGAGGUUUUGAAGCGCUGAAUUUUUUUCUUCAGAAGUAGUGGCAAAUGCUUUAUUAUGAAUAUUAAUUUUAUUAUUAGCCACAAGGGUCGAACAAAACGAAAUGGGAUAAUACAAUACAAGAGACUAGUGGAGCUUAGCACAAUAUUCGGAAAUAAAAAUAAAAUACAGCAAUAACAAUUAACAAUAAAAUUAAACCAUAAAAUUCCCCAAAAUAGGGCAGUUCCUCCUAGGGUCAACCAAGGAACUUCAUACAUCCUGAUCAGCCCGACUGCCAAGGGUACCGCAGCCAGAUUACCUCACUGCUUCUCAAGCGUUUAUUAAGAGUAAGCCCAUUCACACGGACCAUCCUUGCUACAUUCACCCACUUUAAGGACCAAACCAGAGAAGGAAAAAGAUUAUGGAAGGUUAAGACAAUGAUUUUUUCCUGUGGUAAUUGUUGCACUUGGAACAACACUCAAAAUGCUACCCAACAAUUUGGACGAUAUAGAAAUGGAGACUCGCUCUGUCAGCCUGCAAAAUCUCAGUCAGAUAUCCUGCGAAAAUCUUAAGAAAUGUUCUUGAAAUUGAAUUUGUCACCAAACCACAAGAUAACGCUCCUACUAAUGAAACCAGCAUAUAAUAGCUUUGGGACAAUAACAAUAAUGAUAACGAAGGCGAUGGUUUCUUUUAAUUACCAAGGGGCAUCAAGUGAGGAGGAAAUUAUAAAGACAGGUAACAGUUGAUGUAGGGGGUACAUAAAAUCGGGUAAAAAAUAUAUAGAUUGUAUACAAAAUGUGUGAAUACUCGGAUAAUAUUGGAAAUCCUCCGAAUAGAACUAAUCAAGGAAUCCGGCAGAUCCAAGACGACCCUCAUCACCAAUAGCACGAACUCUCAUCCAGCUAAGACUUAUUUCAUUCACCCUCACCAUUUUUGCUAUAAUCGCCCAUCUCUUGAUAAAUUUACUGGAAGCGAGAAAAUUUCUUGAUUUACAUAAAUGUUUUUGUUUCGUUUAUAUUGCACAAAUUUAUUAAUUUUCAUAGCAGUUACAUAAGAGUUAUUGAUCUUCAUAAUGUUGUUUCAUUGAGUUAUUAAAUGUAUCGGUCAUGUCUUCGAUGUUGUUCCACAAAGUUAAAGUAUUUAAAAGUGUUACACACGAAGAUGCGAAUGUAAACGGUAUAACACUAAUAAAGCCAGAAAUUUGUGGGAUGGUUACACCUGUGUAAAACGACCUCAGUAUAUGACUGGUACCUUAUUUUAUCGACUCCGGAAGGAUGAAAGAGAAAGCACCCGAGUGUCGCACUUGAAACAAUACCCAAAAUGCUAUCUAAGAGACAGAAGGGUAUUGGAACUGAGACUUGCAUUGUCAACAUGCAGAGAAGUGCAAUUCUGUAUCCUGCAAAAAUUCUAAGACAUAUUCUUCAAACAUGAGCAUCAAAACAGCAUCUCUGCUAAGUGAUAUAGCAUGCAAAUAGUUUUAAUAAUAAUAAUAAUAAUGAUGAUGAUGAGAUGGAGGAGGAAUAUUUUCAUUAUUAACCCUCAAGGGCUCAAAGAAGACAAAUAUGGUAGGGUGUUUGUGUAAGAUUAGUGGGCCGCAUUAAACUAAUUCUCCGGUAGAAAGGGUAGCUGCUUAGCGGGCUAAUGAAGGAAACUCCACGAAAUCUCAAUGGCCAUGAUUUUCAAGGCAAGAAGCCCUCACUUGUUUCCCGGCCUAGAUGUGCAAUCUGAGAGUAAACCCGUUCAACGUACCUAGUAUUCUCUACUCUCAACCACCACACAAAGAAUUUACUGGAAGCGGAGAGGAACCGGGGUUUCCUUUUUCCACCCUGAAUUAUUUUUUUUAAGUAGAUGCAUGAUGAUCAGGAAUCAACUUUUCAGUUGCAUUUUUAUUUAUUUUUAUAUUACUAAACAAUGAAGGGCGUGAACUUGUAGAAUCGUAAGCAUGCCGGGCAAAAUGCUUAGUGGCACUUCGUCCGUCUUUACGUUCUGAAUUCAAAUUCUGCCGAAGUCGACUUCACCUUUCAUCCUUUCGGAGUCGAUUAAAUAAGUACCAGUUAAACACUGGGGUCGAUGUCAUCGACUUAUCCUUCCACCGAACUUGCUGGCCUUGUGCCAAAAUUUGAAACCAAUAUUACUAAAAAUGAUGAUGAUGGUGACGACAGUGGAAUCCCGUUGGUAGUGUUAACAGUGAUAACAAUGGUAUGAACGUCAGGGAAAUGGCGUGUGUGUGUGUAGUGAAAGCGCGUGGCUUAGUGGUUAGGGUAUUCGGUUUAUGAUCGUGAGGUCGUGAGUUCAAUUUCCGACCACGCGUUAUGUCCUUGAGCAAGUAAGACACUUUAUUCCACUUAGCUGGCAAAAAUGAGUUGUACCAGUAUUUCAAAGGGUCAUCCUUGACACACUCUAUGUCCUGCAGAAUCUCCCUAAGAACUAUUUUAAGAGUACACGUAUCUGUGAAGUGCUCAGCCACAUGCAUGUUAACUAUUCCGUUGAUGGAUCAGCUGGAACAUUCGUCGUCGUAACCGACGGAGUGGCAUAUGUGUGUAUAUAUUUCUGUGUAUAUAUAUGCGUGUUUGAGUGUUGAGUGUAUGUAAAAUCUUAUUGGCAUAUGUUGCUACCUUCAAAUGAUGAAAUUAUUACUCACAGAGUCUAUAUAAAUGAUAACAAUAAUUAUAAUAAUCGUUAUCGUUAUAAUGCUUUGUCAUUAUAGUCGACAUAAGAGCGGCAGGCAUCGUCAGGCGACGGUAAACUCUGGGUAGACUGGCAUCCAGUGCCAGAUCAACCCGAUUCACUUGAACUUUUCUUUAUUAAUGCUACACCACUCAAACUCCCAUUUCUCAUGUAUCCUUCACAGGAUUCCAGUCGGGUUCAGAUAAGAUUAAACACACGCGCAAAAAAAAAAAAAAUGAUUAAAAUUAAAAUUUAAUAAAAAAUUUCAAUGACUGCGAUCCAGUUUUUUUUUAAUAUAUAUAUUUCAUCAACCUAUCUGCCUUUCAUAUCUUUUCCUGUUCUUAAAUCGCUUUUUCUUCCCUUAAAUUUAUUACAAAUACCCAUUCGCUUAUUAUUAACAUUGUUGUUGUUACUAUUAUUAUUAUUAUUAUUAUUAUUAUUAUUAUUAUUAUUAUUAUUAUUAUUAUUAUUAUCAUUAUUCCGCUUGUCGCGCAGCAUUUAUUGCUGGUGGUAUUAUACCGGUCCUCAACCAGUGGCCUGAGGUGACACCUCCAAUUGUCAAGCACUUUUCGAAGUAUUCUAGCGGUUAUUUAUUUUUUUUCUGUGAGUGUCCCUACCUGAUACUAAAACCGAUUUA
Long non-coding RNA from Octopus sinensis (East Asian common octopus), 3583 nucleotides. RefSeq lists it as uncharacterized. The transcript is spliced from 2 exons. NCBI's taxonomy places the organism in Eukaryota, Metazoa, Mollusca, Cephalopoda, Octopoda, Octopodidae. The record is from RefSeq and is a predicted model, not a curated record.